GAGAAAUUUAUUGGCCGCAGGCGAUCGCAUCGUGGUGAUAAAUGGGCAGAAUUUAUUGCAUUUGCGGAAUGAAGACGCUCUGAAGAUGCUGCAGAGCUUGUCCGAUACGAUCGAGCUGGUCCUCUCUUAAGCUACUUCCCGUAAAAACACGAUUUCCAGGAAGAAUCACGAACAACCUGCGGAAAAUAACUAUUUGAAUGACAUCAGAUUCGACGUGUCCUCGGAAGCAGAUACGUCGAGCAUGACAAACAAAAGGCUCGUUCAAAGGACUACCGACGUUGUAUCUGUGCAAAACACCUCCAGCGCGUACAGCAGUGCCGCAUCGAGCGCAAUGGGUAAUCACAAUGCAAACAGCCUAUACAUGACCGAUCUUGUUGAUAAUGAUGCACUUAAGUCCGCAAGUAUGCUGCUCAGUAUAGAGGACUUCGACGUCAGCAGGGCGAGUCGCCAAGUUUUUAUUUAAUCGUCGAUAAAGCAAG
Molecule: long non-coding RNA, 479 nt
Organism: Bombus impatiens (common eastern bumble bee)
Lineage: Eukaryota; Metazoa; Arthropoda; Insecta; Hymenoptera; Apidae
Exons: 2
Source: RefSeq, a predicted model, not a curated record